Molecule: long non-coding RNA, 1267 nt
Organism: Vidua macroura (Pin-tailed whydah)
Lineage: Eukaryota; Metazoa; Chordata; Aves; Passeriformes; Viduidae
Exons: 3
Source: RefSeq, a predicted model, not a curated record
GGCAGGAUCCCAGUGUCAGCUGUGUCUGAUCUGCCCCUGACCAUGUCUUGUACACAACACUCUGCCUCCAUCCUGCCUCCAGCAGGAAACAUCCCAAAAAUCUGAUCUCAAGCCUUGAACAUUAAGCAUAGCAAAAAUACAGCUCUUGAAGGCAACCUGAAUCAUUUACCAUAAGUCACUUCUGAGGUGACUCAAAUAACAUCUCCCCUGCAAUGAAUUCACACCCCACUGCCAACAGGGUGCCAGAGAGACUUGCUUAUGGGCACAGAGUACUUUCUCCAAAGCAGACAGGAGCCAUCUCCCAUAAAUCAUCGUACAGCAGACACACCAUCUGCAAUAACAAAUGAGACCUCUGAGGCAUCUUUAAAGUCUUGGGUUUGCUACAUUAAGUUUAAGGCAUAUAGAUGUGUCUUUGGUAGAAGAAAAUUUUCCAGCAGCAUACGACUGUGCAUGCCACUAUUCAGGGAAUGAAGAGAUCCUGCCACACUGCUCUAAUUAAUAGAGGCUCAGUAUCUCCAGCCCACGGCCAACUGGACAAUUGAGGCUGCCCUCUCCAACUACUGCUUUGGAAGUUUAGGGCACAUUCAGAUGAAGCAGCUUACAGCACAGCAAAAACACUAUAAAGCAAAAAGUGAAAGCAAGCUAAGCGUGCCUGAGUUGCUCUGCAUUUGCUCCCCUGCCCCAGUGUUCUGCACUCAUGCUAUGGAUUAGCUGAUUUUCUCACUAUGCACUGCACUGACUUGUGCAUACAGGUGAGCUCAAGCUACAUAUUUUGAGAAUAAUGCACUAUUCUAUCUCUGUGAAAUCUGUCUUUAGCUAUUAACUAUGCAUGGUACUUUCACAAUGCAUGUACUUGGGAGGAAUUUUCAUCCCCACAAGCCCUCUGCACUAACAGCUUUCAAACCUUGCAUGGAGUGUUUUUCAGGGUGGCAAGAAAACAGAACAACCUGCUGUCCCCAGCCAGAUCCAGGACAAGAGGAAAAUUUCAGGGCUUCUGAAGCUUGCUGGCAAAUAUCCCAAGGGCCUAACAGUGCUUCACUGCAUACAGCCACAUCUGAGCAAUUCACUGGAAGGCAGCAGAAGACUACAACACACCAGAGAAGCCAGAAUUGCUCAUUUCUGAAACUCCACUCCUCAAUUGUGCCAUAAAUGGCUUUAAUGUAUUUCUGAAUGGCAAAUACAGAAGAAAUGGAACAACUCUCCUUGAGUCAAUGAUAGCUCCGAUAAAAGAUAAAGCUGAGAUUUUACUCUUAUUCUUUAACAAUCA